GUUCGUGCUGAAGGCCUGUUUCCUAGGCUACAAACGAGGGACUAGUUCCUUACCUUUCCGCCUAGGGGAAAGUCCCCGGACCACCGGCAGAGAGUGCCACGUGCUCCCGCACGUAGACCUUCCCGGCCUGUCACUGGUUAACCCGCCAAGAAGCAAGCCCGUCGUUCGCGAUGGGGGAGCUGAGCGGCGUGUGGCGUGGGCGUCAUCCGUCAUCUCUCCUAGUAACGCAGGCAGUGCGUGUUUUCGCGCACCAACCACACGGGGCUCAUUCUCAGCUCGGC
Molecule: RNase MRP RNA, 281 nt
Filed under: Sciurus vulgaris (Eurasian red squirrel)
Lineage: Eukaryota; Metazoa; Chordata; Mammalia; Rodentia; Sciuridae
Description: RNase MRP (ENSSVLG00005023250.1)
Rfam family: RNase MRP
About the family: RNase MRP is an enzymatically active ribonucleoprotein with two distinct roles in eukaryotes. In mitochondria it plays a direct role in the initiation of mitochondrial DNA replication.
Source: Rfam by way of RNAcentral